Columba livia (rock pigeon) is the source of this 4588-nucleotide long non-coding RNA. RefSeq lists it as uncharacterized. The record is from RefSeq and is a predicted model, not a curated record. NCBI's taxonomy places the organism in Eukaryota, Metazoa, Chordata, Aves, Columbiformes, Columbidae. The transcript has 2 exons.
CUCUGUCACUGUCACAGAGCAGAGCUCACCCUGCCCUCCUGCUCCUGCUGAGGAACCUGCAGCCCAUGAGCUCUGCCCUCAGUCUGCUCUGCUCCAGCUGAACAAACCCAGGGGCUUCAGCCGAUCCUCACACGGCUUCACUCCAAAGUCUUCACCAACUUCAUGGCCUCUUGUGGACACUCUCCAGUAGCUUUAUCUCCUUUUCUCCCGUGUCCCCAGCCCUGCACACAGUGAAUGCUGCAGGUGAGGCCGCCCCAGCGCAGAGCAGAGCGGGACAAUCCCCUCCUGCCCGGCUGGCCGUGCUGUGCUGGGUGCACCAGGACACGGGUCCCUCUUGGCUCCAGGGACACUGGUGGCUCGUGUUCAACUUUCUGUCAAACAGAACCCCCAGAUCCCUCUCUGUGGAGCAUCUGGUCCCAGCAUCUGGUCCCCCAGUCUGUAUUUACAGCUAGGGUUGCUGUGUCCCAGGUGCAAAAUCCGGCACUUGCCUUUGUUGAACUUCAUGUGGUUGGUGAGUGCCCAGUUCUCCAGUUUGUGCAGAUCCCUCUGCAGGGCCUCUCUGCCCUCCAGAGCGUUAGGGCUUACUUAACCCUAACCCUUGAGAGUGUAUUAAGUUAUCUUAAGGCUUUUUCUGUGGGCGGAUCAUAUCGCAUGGGAUAGGAUGGACUUGCAGAAUCCUGAGUGCCAUGAGAAGGUGAUGGAGCGAUGUUAGGCACCUGGUGCCAAAAGGGGUGCAGCAGAUGAACCAGGAGCUGGUUCAUGUGGUGGUUCUCAGGGGCAGCAGAGCAGGGCACCUCUUGCUGAAGCAUGCGGUGGAUGCAGAAGGUUUACUGCAUGCAGACACCUUUUGAAGGCUACUAUAUAGACAAAUAUCAAGAGCUGAGCAUUGUCCCGAGCUGAAAUUGGUUGGGAGAAUGCACGGAGGAAAGGAUAUAUCAGCCUGUAGUCUUGGUGCUGGUUUCAGUGGAUUUGGGCACUGCGCAGGGCGAGAUACCAUGUUAGGUGGAGACUUGGUCUGAUUUGGGACAGUUUUUAUGUGUGACUCCCUCCAACAGUUACUGCGGUUUGUCUCAAUGAAGAGAUCGAGUUUUACGGGAGCUCUGUAAGUGCUCGUGGGGAAUAUCUUCCCUCAUAAUUUAUUUACCUUUGCUACUGUCUUCUCCAAUUGCCUCUUUUAAACUUGGCUAUGUAAAUUCCUUUCAGUUUACCAGACUGGAUUCUUGAUUCUGGUGUGUUCACGAUCAGUUUUAGGCUUUUAGCAAGUAGUUUUUUAAAAGAGGCAUUACAGGAAAACCCCUCUACAACUGCUCACCCUUACAGGAUGAACACAGCCGAGCGCAGCGAUGUCACCUCUUGUCCCUGCUCUGUCCCUUGAGAGGUUGUCAGUGAGCUCUGCUGGCCAUGUGCUACAGAGAAAAGGAGUUCGGAAUAACCCCCUGUAUACUGAGAACAGCUCGGAUUGUACUGCGAUCGUCUUUCGCUAUUACCGUGGUAGUUUCCAAAUUAAUAGACUGGAAGACAGAAACAUUCCUCAUUUUCCUGAGGGCGGCCAACUGGGGUGACCACCUGCUUUUGCUGGAACCUGGAGGUGAUGUUGUAUUCACCCAUUUUUCUCUGUCUGCUUGAAAGGAACGUGCUCUGAGAAGCAUUCCUGAUGAUUAUACACUUGUUGCGAAGGGAGCAGAGCAUGCAAAUGCCUUUUCCCAUUGACAUAUUGUUGUUAUGGAUUGAAGAUUUUGGCAGGAGCUGGUUGUGAUGCAGUCUGACUUUUAGCUUUUGUCUACAUUAAUAUUGGGAUAUAGGACUAGGUUGUCACUGAACAUUGAAGGAGGCUUUAAAGCCUAUUCUCUGGAGUUACUUACCUGCUGAGGUGCAUUGCAAAAUUUUAUUUAGAAAAUCCGAGGAUUUAUCAGAAAAGUUAAUAUUUAAAAGUAUGUGGGGACUCGCAGCUGUAGCUAAUUACAGCGCGGCAAGCUUGUUUGCAGACGAAAUAACAGGGUGGUUCAUAAAAGACACAAAAAAUGAAGAUUGGAAAAAUAAUUUCUGCAAUAUCUUUGUCAUUUCACAACUAUGUGAGAUUGCCUGAAGGAACUGGCCUUUUUGGCCCCUUGCUACAGAGAUAUUUUUAAUCGGUUUUAUUAAUUUAAAUUUUCUGAUCCUAGCUACAGUCUCAGCCAUUUUCAAAAUUACUGUCCUACAAGUAAUAGUUAUGUUAUUGGAGGAAAUAAAAGGGUCGUAUGCAACUUUUCCCAUUUAAUGUCACGUGCCUUUAUUAAAAGGGCAGCAAACACUUAAAAAGCCCAUAUAUAACUAUAUGUGGUCAUAUAUUAUUUAUAACUGAUGUAAACUAUAUAUUAUAAGUCAUUCUUUCCAAAUGCAACUUGAGAGAAAGUCCAUUAAAAAGCCUCAGUGUUUGAGGAGUGACAUUUUUUAUCACAUAGGGUUUGUCCUGUGUCUCCCCUGCUGGUCCCAACUGCAGCGGGAGCCAAGGACAUUUGGUGGGUGUUCGGUGGACGUUCAAUGGGUGUUCGAUGGACGUUUGAUGGGCGUUUGGACAUUCGACGGGUGUUCAGUAGAUGGUCGGUGAACGUUCAGUGGGUGUCCAGAAGGUGUUCGGUGGACAUUCAGUGGACGUUCGGUGGACAUUCGAUGGACGUUUGAUGGACGUUCAGACGUUCAAGAGGUGUUCGUUGGAUGUUUGAUGGACGUUCGGUGGACGUUUGUGCUGUGGCUCACGAGAGUCCCCAAGUAGAUUCAAUCCUAAGGACAAACACAUGCUCGUACCUGCCUGACUUGUUUUGCACAAGAGAUGGAUUAAUUCUUAUUGUAUCAGCAUAAACUACUACUUUGCUAUUGCAGGUUUAAUCUCUCCGGGAGCACACUGAUGAUGGAGUGUAUCAGCCUAAAUGUUACCUUUAAAGGGCCUAAUCUUUGUUUGAAAGGACGACUGUGCCGACACAUCUGUGUACAGCGGAGCCCGUGGACGUGCCAGCUGUGUCUGCAGUGGUCUGACGGGAGCAGGUUGCGGAGCGGAGCCGUCCGUGGCCCCGUGGCCCUGCACGCGGGGUGACCGGCACCGUGCUGGCUGGGCCCUGGGGCCGGUCGAGCACGUCACGUUCCCAGAGCUCCGCGGUGUAAACCACAGCGUGGGAAUGGUGGUGAGGAGGAGAGUGAUUACAAAGGAACACUCUCCAUCCACCCAAAACACUAAUAGGGACUAAUACUAUAGCAGCUUUCAUUUUAAAUACUGUGCCCAUAAGUGAGGUAUUUUCAUUCAUGUCCAGCAUACACAAUAAAGCAGCGUGCUCUUACUGUCCUAGAGAGUUUGUUAGAAUACAAAACCUUAACUGAGUGUUGAUAACGUGAAUUGUCUGAUAGAGCAGUAAGCCUCACCGGCUGGCUGUCGAAUGACGCGUAUUGAGGCUGCAGAUGAGGUUUCUCAUUGCAAUAUAACAAAGAAAAUGCAGUAGCGUUACGCUGGAGUUGUCUUGCAGGCAGAAUGUGGGAUCGUGGCAUCUUUCAGUAAAAAGUUCUGACCUGAUACGUUAGCCGCACGUUUCUCUUUUUUUCAUAGAGGACUUGUAAAUGUGCGAGAUGUACCACAAAUGUAUUCCCUGUUUUGAACUAAGAUAGUUCUUUGUGUCAGUUGAGGCGAUGGUAGAUGAAUUUAUUGUGGUGACAGCCCUGCCGUGGGUUGUUCCAAAGGAGGCAAAGGGGCUGAGUCCCUAGAAGAGCUCCAGAUGUUCCUGAUUUUUUUCUUGUUAUUAGCAAUUACUCACUUGGAAGGGUCCAGCAGCUUUUCUUCUCAAUAACAAACUGUGGAAGAGUCAGCAGAAUCAUGACCAACCAGAUCAUGAAACUUGCCAGUGGGAAGAACAUGUACAAACUGAAAAAGAGGAAGCGUGUCCAACAGAUGCUGAUUUGGAUUUACUCAGCUUUCUUGUUUUAUGAAGCAGGAUUUCUUUCUUACCAUGUUACUAUUUAACCAGUGCCAGCUGGAUUCUUCAGAAACUGCAAUAUUCCUUUAAAUGUCAUGUUAUUGCCCAAGAUACGGUGCCAUCCCCAAAGUCAUAUUUUAUAUUUUAAACUGUUUGCCUUUUAAGAUGUAUUUAUUGCCAUGUUUGUUUAAUGUGGUUAUCUCCUUUGUCAAUCUAUUCCUUGCUAACUUAAAGCUGCUGCUCUUUGGUUUUCGUACUGAAAGCUGCUUCCCCGGGGAUGUAUAGUCCAGGACUUGUCUCUGUAAUGGGACUAUUUGUUUUCUUUGCCCCUUGCAGUUGCCUGCUGUAACAUUUGUAGUAUGUGUUAAGUAAUCCUUGAGGUAACAUUUUUAUUAUGUCAUAAAAAGUGCGUGGCAAAUAUAUAAUAACUCACGGAAUUUGUUUGUUUAAAAUGGAAGGAUAAUUUAUUGAGUGUGUUACAUGAGACCUGCUCCCCCUUAUUAGAGCUGUAGAAGUGCAGCUUAUUUAGAAGUACGUUCUAUUGAGAAAAACCACGGUCUCUGACAUGCAUAGAAAGUUUGAGCAUGGUUGGGUAGAAAUGACAUCAUAGUUUAUGUACUCAAUAAAAAUUUAAUUAAGUCAUUACAGAA